RNAcentral lists this long non-coding RNA (1491 nucleotides) under Homo sapiens (human). RNAcentral's name for it is "hepatic lncRNA metabolic regulator 1". The record is from RNAcentral. Lineage: Eukaryota; Metazoa; Chordata; Mammalia; Primates; Hominidae.
AGUAACAGAGACGACUGCAGGGCUGACCUAAGCUUAGUAGCCUGGCUUCUCCGGGAGCUGAGGGUGAGCAUCAUGCCUGCUCCAUCUCCCUCUUUGUUGUGGAUAAGGCAGGGUCAUCAAGACAGGAGGAUAUGAGGCAGAAUCACCACACAAGAUUCUAUAAAGAAGAGAAUGAUCUAACCUGAUGUACAUAUGACAUUAAUCCAAUAGACUUAGGAAUAAGAUACAGGGGGUUUUCCUGAAUGAUUCGAGUAUAUCCCCAUUCAUAUUAAGAAAACAAAGUAUUGGCCAAGCGUGGUGGCUCACGCCUGUAAUCCCGGCACUUUGGAAGGCCGAGGCCAGUGGAUCACCUGAGAUGGACUCAACGACUCUCUUACCGUCCAGCUCUCAAGUCCCUUCUCUUGUGAAAAUGGAAAAGUUGAACUACAGUUGAGAUAUUAUUCCCAGGUGUUCUUUGGAACACAGGGGAUUUCUCCAAAAGGCACAGAACAAAUUGCCUCCAAACAGCCAAGAUUCCAGCAGAAGCUGGAGUAGCAGACUACUUGGAUCUUCAAAGUACCUGGCCCUGAGUCAGUUAAGGAAGAUCUUUUCUUCUCUUUUGUACAAUCCUAUGAUGAGAGCUGCAAAGUGAACUGACUAAGAGCUUCUGCCUUGAUCAUUGACCUCCCAAUCCUAAUAAUAUGUUCACUGGCCAAACUUCCUAAUCGAUUUGUCUUUUGGAUAUAACGUUCCUCCUACUGUUUGCCUGAUUGAGAAAUCUGCUACAGAACAUGACCGGUUAGCAUUCCCACCAACCCCAGUGCUACACUGACUGUCUUUCGAUGGACUUUGCUCCUUGCUGCCUCUCUGAGGUCCCAGACCUUCAGAGUGACCUUCACAGCUCUGCCUAACUUUCUGUCAUACUUCUAUCAAGAGAGACAGCUAAAUCAAUAUUUUUAAUGUGCUUUGCUGUCGGAAUUCGAUGAUCUGUCACAGUUCUUGCCCAAUACACCCCAUCAUUAUUGUUAAAAUGUUUUUAGCUUUGUUUGUAGAAUUGCUUUAACUGGUUUCAUCUCUGGGAGCUACACUUUGAAAUAUAACUUUAGCAACAUUUUACUAUACUUUUUCACAACCCAGAGCAGUACUAUUUUAUGCUUAGUGGUUAAACUAAUUCCAUAAAUCUUUUGCAACUAUCCUCUAUUCUUUUUCUUGUAAUUUUUACCUGGGAAGGUUUUUACUGAUAAUCAUCCUAUCCUGAGUCAUCCCACAAACCAAUCUGUCUCACUAAUCAUUGCUUCUAACCUACAGACUAAGCAUAACUUCUGCUAAAUGAUCUUUGAUAAGAUGCUAUGACUCUAUAAAGUCUUUGAUAUUCAUGUCUAAAUUUAAUCACUUGUAGAUUUUCAUAGAAUCAAUCUUUCACUUCUACAAUUGGGAGUAUUUAUAAGUUGUUUAUCUUAAACAGUUCCUCUAUCACGCUUUUCACGUUAAAUAAAGCAAUCCCUUCAAAUC